AUGCUCAUGUGCUGUUGGCCAAAGCAGCCUCUUGGCCACGCCCAGAGCGAAGGCGUGGGAACCGAUGGAUUUAAGGAACCACCAUGUCCGGUGCGAGAGGGCCUGGGCUUCUGGCCACUCUGCUCCCUGCAACGGGGCCCCCAGCCCCACGUCUGCGCCCAUUCCCCAGCUCACAGCUGCCUGCUCUCAGCCACGCUCGUCCGUCCCGGCCCGCGGCUGGCUGAGUCCUGGGCGCCCGAGGCCCUUCUCCGGGAGGGGGGCACCGGUGCGCUGUGGCCGGUGCUCCUGAACCCCGUAGGCCUGGGGCCAGGGCUGGACUCCACUGCAGCCCACGCGUCCACCUCCCCCUCACCAAACCACGGACCUCACGGCCAAGAUCCGGCUCUGCUCCCGCGGGCCCCACGCAGGAGCUUUCCCUGGCCAGGUCCCUCCCACAGCCCUGCUGGCUUCCAGGGGCUCCCCCUGCCCGGUGUCUGCUGGGGGGACGUCCGCCAGCCCCACCCCCGAGGAGACCCUCCCAAGCCGGGCCUCUCCCGAGCUCCUGGCCCGCAGAGACGGCUGGGUGCGGGGGCCCUGCCAGCGCUCAGUUUUGAGUCCCCUGUUGCUUGUUGGGGGGCGGCAGUGGCUGGCGGGGUCCCAGGCAGCGUCCGCCUCCUUGCUCUCACGGGGACUCGCAGACGAGGGGGCCCCCCCAGGGCCCUGCACGCGGGCGUCUGUCUGCCCGCCCCUCAUUCUCCUCCACCCCGCGCUGACAGGCGCGCGCCCACGCCGGGGAGGGUGCCUCCUGAGCACCCUCUUCCCCGCCGAGCCCCGUGUCCCUGCUCCCCGGCUCCCUCGGUCUGCAGCCGGUCCGGGAGUGGGGCCGGGAGUGGGGCCACGAGGAGCGCAGGGCGGCAGGGCCGGAGGGAGCUGAGCCUGCCGCAGCGAGUCCGGGGAGGAGGAGGAGGAGCCCUGCAGAGGGGCUGGUGGUGUCCUGCCCAGCCCGAGACGGCACACGGCACACCAGACACACACACACACACCAUACAGACACACACACAGAUACACACACACACACACCAAACAGUCCUGGGGAGGAGGAGGAGGAGCCCUGCAGAGGGGCUGGUGGUGUCCUGCCCCAGCCCGAGACGGCACACGGCACACCAGACACACACACACACACACAUAGAUACCAAACAGACACACACA
RNAcentral lists this long non-coding RNA (1188 nucleotides) under Oryctolagus cuniculus (rabbit). Its description in RNAcentral is "lncRNA (ENSOCUG00000034949.1)". Lineage: Eukaryota; Metazoa; Chordata; Mammalia; Lagomorpha; Leporidae. The record is from RNAcentral.